Molecule: ribosomal RNA, 354 nt
Filed under: uncultured Gammaproteobacteria bacterium
Lineage: Bacteria; Pseudomonadati; Pseudomonadota; Gammaproteobacteria
Description: bacterial SSU rRNA
Rfam family: Bacterial small subunit ribosomal RNA
Source: RNAcentral
UACAGAGGGUGCGAGCGUUAAUCGGAAUUACUGGGCGUAAAGGGCGCGUAGGCGGUCUGGUCAGUCGGAUGUAAAAGCCCCGGGCUUAACCUGGGAAUGCCAUUCGAUACUGCCCGACUUGAGUAUGGUAGAGGGUAGCGGAAUUCCGGGUGUAGCGGUGAAAUGCGUAGAGAUCCGGAGGAACACCAGUGGCGAAGGCGGCUACCUGGACCAAUACUGACGCUGAGGCGCGAAAGCGUGGGGAGCAAACAGGAUUAGAUACCCUGGUAGUCCACGCCCUAAACGAUGAGAACUAGCCGUUGGGGGUAUUAAAACCUUUAGUGGCGAAGCUAACGCGAUAAGUUCUCCGCCUGG